RNAcentral lists this ribosomal RNA (604 nucleotides) under Gordonia sp. CMT199. RNAcentral's name for it is "bacterial SSU rRNA". It matches the Rfam family "Bacterial small subunit ribosomal RNA", at positions 271 to 885 of the family's 1533-position model. The record is from RNAcentral. Lineage: Bacteria; Bacillati; Actinomycetota; Actinomycetes; Mycobacteriales; Gordoniaceae.
AGGCGACGACGGGUAGCCGACCUGAGAGGGUGAUCGGCCACACUGGGACUGAGACACGGCCCAGACUCCUACGGGAGGCAGCAGUGGGGAAUAUUGCACAAUGGGCGCAAGCCUGAUGCAGCGACGCCGCGUGAGGGAUGACGGCCUUCGGGUUGUAAACCUCUUUCACCAGGGACGAAGCGCAAGUGACGGUACCUGGAGAAGAAGCACCGGCCAACUACGUGCCAGCAGCCGCGGUAAUACGUAGGGUGCGAGCGUUGUCCGGAAUUACUGGGCGUAAAGAGCUCGUAGGCGGUUUGUCGCGUCGUCUGUGAAAUUCUGCAGCUUAACUGCAGGCGUGCAGGCGAUACGGGCAGACUUGAGUACUACAGGGGAGACUGGAAUUCCUGGUGUAGCGGUGAAAUGCGCAGAUAUCAGGAGGAACACCGGUGGCGAAGGCGGGUCUCUGGGUAGUAACUGACGCUGAGGAGCGAAAGCGUGGGUAGCGAACAGGAUUAGAUACCCUGGUAGUCCACGCCGUAAACGGUGGGUACUAGGUGUGGGGCUCAUUUCACGAGUUCCGUGCCGUAGCUAACGCAUUAAGUACCCCGCCUGGGGAGUACGG